UGUAAAGCUACGCACAUCUGUAGGCAGCUCCUAGGCUUGGUUUCUCAAAAACACCACGCCGUCGUCCUCCUUGAUCUGACAUUAAAGGCCCAGGGCGUGAGAUGAUUGCCCUCUGCGUCAGGUAGACUGACUCAUCUUGACAGGUGUGAAAGCCUGGGUCGGCUGGGCCUCUUCCUUCUUCCUGCGGUGCCGGGUGACGUCGCUAUGCCUUCGGGGACGGAAUAGAGGCUGUGGCGGAGUUCUGGAGGUCAGAGCCAAUCGUGGAGAUCUCUUGCGCUAUGGCUCAGAUUAUUUCCAAACCCUUCUAAAAUGAAGAUAGAUACCUCGAAACACUGAGGAUUGCCCCUCACUGUUUAUUAUGUAGCGUUUCACCUUGAAGGUCUUCAUCAGAGACUUUUGAAGCUAACCCUUAACAUUUAUAUCCCAGUGUCCUGUUGUACUGUAACAGACUGAAUCAUUGGGGCAUUGUGCUGUUGACUGUUGACUUCCUGUUAUGUGCUCAAACCCCAUGUGAUCAUUCCACUUGAUGUUGUUGAAUCUUCUGACCCUGUCUGGGGUAUUUUCAACUCCUCUGGUUCUCCUUCACUGUGAGCCUGUCUAUAGUUUUGCUAAAUAGGAUUUGUAUAUUGUCUAGGAAUGUAUUCACUGUGUGCGUGACUAAUAGAGACCACCAAAUAGGAUACUUAGAUUAUUUUAGUUUUUUACAAUCCUUCAUAUUGUAUGUUUUAUGUACUGUAUAACAUUUAAAGAUGAUGCAAUUACAAGUAGUUUAAUAGCACAUAUAACAGGUAUAAACAUUUGUUUUGCUGUUAUAUGUAUGAAUGAACCAAGGGGUUCUAAAACUGACCACAGAGAUUUCGUAAGUUACAGGAUGGUCAAGUUUGACAUCACAUAUGAAAACAUUACUGUUUUGACUGUUAAUUUGAAGUCAACAAUUGUUAUCUGAUGCCAUUUAGCUACACUUAACCAAAGCUUUGUCCCCCUGCUUGUAGGUAUUUGUCACUGAUAAGGCGUUGUUUUGUCAAUAGUCUUUCACUGAGUGAUGCUGUGAAAAUGUAGAGAACAAACUAAUUUCACCUUAAAGCACAAUAUAUUUUUUGUACCAAACUCAUGUUCUUUGGUAUUUAGAUGAGCACUUGACCGCCCCGUUUUGUUGGGUAAAAUAUAUCCUACAUCCUUCAUCUCUUAAUGCAAUUCAAAUGUUAUUAAAGCCUAAAAUGUUUGCUUAGUGACCUGAAGGUCAUAGAGCCAUGGCCUCUAACGACGGCCCAGAGGUGUUUUCUGAUUGGGUGGUGUGUUCUGGAAGAAACUCCAAAUAACUGCCACUGUAUUCAUUGUGUAUCUCCUUCCAAUUACUGAGUUGUUAUUGGACAGUGACUUCAACCCAAAUGGCUCCCCGUUCCCUUCAGCAUGGCCCUUAUACCCAACUGGCAGACAGAUAGAUCAGAUCCUAACCCACAACUAUUAAAACAAGGUGUUGGUUCACAACCCUGUUUCCAGAAAAGUUGAUAUGCUGCGUAAAAUGUAAAGAGAAACAGAAUGCAAUGAUGUGCAAAUCAUUUAAACCCUAUAUUUAAUAGAUAGUACAAAGACAACAUAUCAAAUGUAGAAACUGAGACAUUUUAUGGUUUCUUGAAAAAUAUAUGCCCAUUUUGAAUUUGAUGCCAGCAAUACGCUUCAAAAAAGCUUGGGACAGAGGUAACAAAAGACUGUAGAAGUUGUGUAAUGCUAAAAAGCUAAACCUGGUGGAAUUUCACUAAUUAGGUCAAUUGGCAACAGGUCAGUAACAUGAUUAGGUAUUAAAAGAUCAUCCCAGAGGAUGGGUCUGUCAGAACUGAGGAUGGGGAGGGGUUCACCACUCUGUGGAAGACUGCAUGGGCAAAUAGUGCAACAAUUUUUAGAAUAUUGUUUUUCAAUGUAAAAUUGCAAAGAGUUUGGGGAUCUCAUCAUCUACAGUACAUAAUAUUAUGAAAAGAUUCAGAGAAUCCAGAGAAUUAUCGGUAUGUAAGGGACAAGGCUGAAAACCAAUGCCCAUGAUCCUUGGGCCCUCAGGCAACACUGCAUUAAAAACAGACAUGAUUCUGUAGUGGAAAUGGGCUCAAGAACACUCCCAAUACCACUGUCUCUGAACACAGUAUGUCCUGCAUCCACAAAUGCAAGGUAAAACUCUACCAAGCAAAGCAGAAACCAUAUAUAAAUAUUGCAUUCAUUUUUCCUUUGCAUAUUACACAGCGUUCCAACUUUUUGGGAAACAGGGUUGUAAUGUUGCUGUGACUGAACGACAGGGAAUGAGGAGAGCAGUAGAACAGUUAAACUGUGUUUGCCUCAUAGCAAAAGUGUGUGGAAUUACAGGAAAUGAAAGGGCAACAUUUUGUUUUCUUGCCAACCAGAGGGCUGUUAACAGUUUUGGUAUUGCUUACUUUGUGAGGUGCGAUCUGUUACUAGCUGAUCAAUUACAAAAUUAAUUCGGAUCAUUGCCGCCUAGGAAAUGUGUUUAACUGGAUCUUCUUGGAUAAUACUUGAGUCGGGUCCCUUGGUGUUCUGGUCACAGUAGAUGGAAUAGGGAUCCAUUUGGGCCCUCCAUCUCUAACCUGCCUCUGACUGUCUGCGUUACUGUACCUUUUACUGUUGUUGACUUUGGAUCUGUGAUGUGUGAAUAAAGGUAGCUAAAACAAA
Molecule: long non-coding RNA, 2676 nt
Organism: Esox lucius (northern pike)
Lineage: Eukaryota; Metazoa; Chordata; Actinopteri; Esociformes; Esocidae
Source: Ensembl